RNAcentral lists this ribosomal RNA (459 nucleotides) under uncultured bacterium. RNAcentral describes it as "partial 16S ribosomal RNA". It matches the Rfam family "Bacterial small subunit ribosomal RNA", at positions 338 to 795 of the family's 1533-position model. The record is from RNAcentral.
CCUACGGGAGGCAGCAGUGAGGAAUAUUGGUCAAUGGGCGGGAGCCUGAACCAGCCAAGUCGCGUGAAGGAUGACUGCCCUACGGGUUGUAAACCUCUUUUAUAAAGGAAUAAAGUGAGGCACGUGUGCCUUUUUGUAUGUACUUGAUGAAUAAGGAUCGGCUAACUCCGUGCCAGCAGCCGCGGUAAUACGGAGGAUCCGAGCGUUAUCCGGAUUUAUUGGGUUUAAAGGGUGCGUAGGUGGUUUGUUAAGUCAGCGGUCAAAUGGAGGGGCUCAACCCCUGCCCGCCGUUGAAACUGGCGCUCUUGAGUGGGAGAGAGGUAUGCGGAAUGCGUGGUGUAGCGGUGAAAUGCAUAGAUAUCACGCAGAACCCCGAUUGCGAAGGCAGCAUGCCGGCUUCCGACUGACGCUGAAGCACGAAAGCGUGGGGAUCGAACAGGAUUAGAUACCCUUGUAGUC